Mesocricetus auratus (golden hamster) is the source of this 646-nucleotide long non-coding RNA. RefSeq lists it as uncharacterized. The record is from RefSeq and is a predicted model, not a curated record. The transcript is spliced from 4 exons. Lineage: Eukaryota; Metazoa; Chordata; Mammalia; Rodentia; Cricetidae.
UCCAAGCAUCCUACCCAACAUUCUCUUCCUUCCCUCAUGGACUCUGACAGUUCUGUCCCAACUCCAAAUUCUACUCCUUCACAAGUCACACAGGGCACUUUCUGCUGCAAAUGGCACACAACCUGUCCACACUAGCUUAAACCAACAACAACAGCAAAAAUCAGAAACAAAAAGCUUGGGGCAUGUCAGCUUCAGGCCGGGAAAUUGGCCCCAGACUCUCCUCAGCUGUAGGUCUCAGCUUUUCUUUCUCUCAAGACUACUACCUUUUCAGGACCACAGGAGGUUCCAGCAGAUUCAGGCUCCCAAACCUUUCUCUGCCAACUCCUCAGCAACUGCCUGUAUCUAUGAGCAGAGGAGAGAUCAAAACUGAAUCCAGAUGACAUCAUUGGCAUUCACUAUUUACACUUUGUGAUCCAUCUAGAAGCGAACUCAUGGGGUUCCUAGCCACUCCACAAGCUACCAAAGGGCCUCAGCAGACCCUGGCCCAUCACUCUGGAGAGCAGUCCUGUAAGUCAAAGUUCCAGUGUUGAUGCAUGUUUGGAAACCAUUGCUUCCCAACAUAGCGAAGGCUCAACAUCAUGAACAGUAACAGCAGAUACUAAUAGAGGUGCCUUCAUUCUCAGUAUGCCAGAAGGAGAUGCUGGGU